ACUGCUAUGACAAAUUACCAUUCUAGAAUGUAAACGUGCUCUUCCCUUUCUCAACACUGUAGACUAGAAUAUUCGAGUGACAAAAUUACCUAAAGGGAAGAAUGAAAUGAACAAACGAACUUCACAGAAAACCAAAUUGGAUCUGAUGUUUCUGAGAACUUCAAGCACAACUUAAUUUGCUCAACUAAGAGAAAGAAUAAACUAAGGAAAUGUGAGCUCCAGAGAGGACUUCUGACAAUGUAAUAUGACUGCGCAUUUGACCAGAGCUAUUCUUAUGUUGGAUUUCGCAGCCUAAGCAAGACAGAUGAUGAAGAUAAAGCACAGAAAAAUACAAGGAAGAAUUUGAAGAUCACAUUCAUUUACCACAAAUAAACCAAUUAAUCUUUCAUUUUAUGAUCAACUGCAAUAUCCCUUAAAUACACUGAGAAGCCUUCUCUUCACCCAUCAGGAAAAGCUCAGUUGAGAAGACAAAAAAAGAAAGGGCCAGGUGCAGUGGCUCACGCCUGUAAUCCCAGCACGUUGGAAGGCCAAGGUGGGCAGAUCACCUGAAGUUGGGCAUUCAAGACCAGCCUGGCCAACAUGGUGAAACCCUGUCUCUACUGAAAAUACAAAAAUUAGCUGGGCAUGGUGGCGGGUGCCUGUAAUCCCAGCCACUUGGGAGGCUGAGGCAGGAGAAUCACUUGACCCAGGGAGGCGGAUGCUGCACUGAGACUGAGUCGAGAUCAUGCCACUGAACUUCAGUCUGAGGACAAUGAGACUGUCUCAAAAAGAAAAAUACACACACACACACACACACACACACACACGGUACCUCAUUCAUUCAUCCACUCAAACAUUUACUGUGUCCACUGUGCCAGGCCAGGGACUGUGUAAAUAAUGGUGAGCACACAGGGACAAUUCCUACUCAGAGUUUAUUUUUACGAAUAGAGGCAGAAAAUAGAUUAGUAAACAAUAAACACAAAGAGAAUUAUUUAUCAAGCAGUGCGGUGAAAUUAAAGAACAGGGUCCUGGGCAAUGAAUAAGUGCAGCAAGGGUAGUCAGGAAGGCCUCUCUGAGAAAAUAAAUUACAACAGUGAUCCAAGGGUAUGGAGGCAGGGAACAGAACAGGAGGCAGAGGGAACAGCAUGACUACAGGUCCUAAGACAGCAAAAGACUUAACCUGCUUGAGCCACUCUUAGGCCUCCAGGAUGAGUAGACUGCAGUGACCAAACAUGGAGAGAGGGCAGAAAAACCACAUGGGCCCCACCUUAGAGGUCACAGAGUUUAGAUUUUAUUCUUGGUGUGAUGGGAAGCCAACGAAAGCUUUAAAAAAGUAAUGGCACAACCUGACGAGCUGUGUGAUCAUUCUGGCUUUGUGUGAAAAAUUAAUUGAAGUGGGCGAGACUGGAUGGUUGCAAAAAUUAACUCGAAAUGA
Long non-coding RNA from Callithrix jacchus (white-tufted-ear marmoset), 1414 nucleotides. RefSeq lists it as uncharacterized. The record is from RefSeq and is a predicted model, not a curated record. Lineage: Eukaryota; Metazoa; Chordata; Mammalia; Primates; Cebidae.